Molecule: ribosomal RNA, 1134 nt
Filed under: Triticum aestivum (bread wheat)
Lineage: Eukaryota; Viridiplantae; Streptophyta; Magnoliopsida; Poales; Poaceae
Description: partial small subunit ribosomal RNA
Source: RNAcentral
AUGAAUUGCCUCUUCUGGAACAUUAGGGGCAUAACUGCCCCAGGGAGGAAAACCUGCAUAGUGGAGGUACUUAGCAAGACCAAAGCUUGUAUUAUUACCUUCCAAGAAACAAAAAAAGAAGAGCUCUUUUCUGCUUUCUUGAAAUCUAUUAGCAAUAACAGGAAUUUUGUGUGGCACCACCUGCCUGCUGAAGGAUCUGCUGGAGGGAUCCUAGUAGGUGUGGAUGCAGACAUUUAUGAAGUGAACAAUUGGAGUUCCUUUAAGUUCUCUGUCUCAUGUAAUCUCACUGUUAGAUCCAGUGGGAUCAAGUUUAGACUGAUUAGUGUUUAUGGUUCACCUUAUGAUGAAGGGAAAGAUGCUUUCAUCUCUGAGCUCCAUAGCCUGUUUAUAGAUGAUAACCAGCCUACCCUGAUAGAAGGAGAUUUUAACUUGGUUAGAUAUCAACAAGAUAAAAGUAAUGGCAACAUCAAUCACCACUGGUGUGAUAAGUUUAAUGCCUGGAUAGAGAUUUGGAGUCUCUUAGAGAUCAAAAUGUCUGGCAGAAAAUUCACAUGGGCCAAUAACCAAAGUAAUCUGGUUAUGACCACCAUAGAUAGAAUUUUCUGCAAUACAAAGCUAGAAGCUUUGUUCCCUUUGAGUAGCUCACAAGCCCUGCCCAGAGUGGGAAGUGAUCACACCCCACUGCUGUGGGACUCUGGCUUAAAUAGCCCCCCCAAACCCACCAGUUUCAAAUUUGAAAAGUGGUGGUUGUUGAGGGCAGAUUUCAGAGAAUUAGUUAUUAAAAACUGGACAGCCCAUGUUAAAGAGAAGAAAGCUAUAGAUAUUUGGCAGGUGAAAGCUAGGAGAUUCAGGAAAUUUCCUAAGGGAUGGAGUAAAAAUAUUGAGGCUGAGCUUAGGAAACAUAAAGCCAGCCUCACACUAGAAUAUGAUUCUCUAGAUAUCAAGGCUGAAACUGAACAGUUAUCAGAACCUGAGGUUGAUAGGAUGAAAAAGAUACUGCAGGAUCUUCAGCAAAUUUGGCUGAAAGAUGAGAUUAAAGCCAAACAAAGAUCUAGGGACAAGGAUAUUUUAGAAGGAGAUAGGAAUACUAAGUACUUCCAAACUGUAGCCAACCAAAGAGAAGGAAAACACUGA